AAUUCGUGAUGAUCCCAAACGCGAAGCGACUCAAAUGUCCUUUGAGGGAUGGACAGAUAAACACUGUGAUGAAUCCACAGCACCCGAAAGCUACUCAAGGAAGAAAGACAAGAGAAAAAAAGGACAGAACUCCCGUCACAGGCAACGACUGAGUGAAGGGAAAGGAGCCAGUCUCAAAGGGAGACUGUAAAUCACAUUUUCCCCUCAGAAUGAUUUCCCGUGCUUUCAGAUUCUUGGAAUCGAAAACAAAGCUGAUGUGUCCUGAGCUUCGGAGUAUGUGGCAGCCACUUUUCUGAGGACUCUUUUCAUCCUUACAACAGCCCCUGAUGGAGGUUCUAUUAUUAGCUCCAUUUUACAGACGAGAAAACAAAGUUCAGAGAAGCAAACUGACUUGCCUGAACAUCCCAGGGUGUAGCAGCAGAAUCCAGGUUGACAGCAAAGUGGGGAAGGUUCAGCCUGAAAGGAGGCCCCAGUCAGGCUUCGUCAUUCACUACCGUUACCGCCUCGGCAUCCACUGGGGCGAACCACCCCUCAGCCUCACUGUCCCACCGAACCCUGUGGAAGCCUCUUCUUCCCAGAUCCCACCCCAGCGGGAACAUUUUGUGACUUAGCUGAUGAAAACACACCAAUGCUUUUCAAAUAUUACUUUAGAUUUUCGAAC
RNAcentral lists this long non-coding RNA (661 nucleotides) under Sus scrofa (pig). RNAcentral describes it as "lncRNA (ENSSSCG00000041032.2)". Lineage: Eukaryota; Metazoa; Chordata; Mammalia; Artiodactyla; Suidae. The record is from RNAcentral.